This 659-nucleotide long non-coding RNA is filed under the name Salmo salar (Atlantic salmon). RNAcentral's name for it is "lncRNA (ENSSSAG00000100181.1)". The record is from RNAcentral. Lineage: Eukaryota; Metazoa; Chordata; Actinopteri; Salmoniformes; Salmonidae.
GCCAAAGAAAGGCAAAAAUGUGGUACUCAUGAGACGCUGCAUAGGGAUGGGAGAAUCUGUAGCCAGGAACAUAAUGGAUUACAAUGCCACAAAAGGAGGGGUGGACAAUUUAGACAAGCUGGUGACUGGCUACAGCUGCAAAAGAAGAACCCUACGCUGGCCACUUGUGAUAUUCUUCAACAUCUUGGUGUACAACGCGUUUGUCAUCUGGAUGGCGUUGAACCCAGAUUGGAACAGAGGGAAGCUCCAGAGGAGACGGAUCUUUCUCGAGGAGCUGGGCAAGGCAUUGGUACCUGGGCUGAAGUCCCCCCAAAGGACCAGUAUGGGGCGGCAGGUAGCCUAGUGGUUAGAGCUUUGGACUAGUAACCGGAAGGUUGCAAGAUUGAAUCCCCGAGCUGACAAGGUGUGUGGGUGCUGUCUGUCUGCGAUGGAGGUCAGUGCACACUGUCACAGCAGUCUCUGUCCACACCAGAGUCAACAUCACCAUCUCCAGUGGCAGUGGCAGAACCCAGCUAGUACAGUGGAUUGGGGCCGAUUCCGGCUGAGAGUUGGGGAACUCGGCUGAGAGUCAGACUCGGCCGACGUCGGCAGUAUUACUUAUGGCUAGGAUGCGGGGAUUGAGCUCGGGCCGAUUCCGGUGUGAGUUAUGUGGCCCAAAU